GUCUGUCGCUCUAUGACGCAUAAUGCUCAUAAAGAGGAAAGUCCGGGCAACGCAGAGCACCGCAUUUCUUAACGGGAAGCCGGCGGCGACGUCGGGGAUAAUGUGACAGAAAACAACCGCCCGCCCCUUCGCAGGGCAGGCAAGGGUGAAAAGGCGGGGUAAGAGCCCACCGGGGCGCCUGGCGACAGGCGCCGCCGCACAUCCUGCGGGUUGCAAGGUCAAGUAUACCGGCAUCUAAGGGCUGCUCGUCCAUUGCCGGGGGGUAGGCUGCUAUAGCGCGCCGAGCAAUCGGCCGCAAAGAUAAAUGACAGACACGCCUCUUCGGAGUGCGCACAUAACCCGGCUUACAGCAUCUC
Molecule: RNase P RNA, 356 nt
Filed under: pig gut metagenome
Description: Bacterial RNase P class A
Rfam family: Bacterial RNase P class A
About the family: Ribonuclease P (RNase P) is a ubiquitous endoribonuclease, found in archaea, bacteria and eukarya as well as chloroplasts and mitochondria. Its best characterised activity is the generation of mature 5'-ends of tRNAs by cleaving the 5'-leader elements of precursor-tRNAs.
Source: RNAcentral